UUGUGCAGUAAAUGUAUGGCAAUUUUGGGUACAACCGGAGAAGUGCUAUCUGACUGCAUUUUGCUGUUGUGAAUCAUAGUCGUUCACGGUCAAAACAAGUUAAUCCAUAAUAAAUGUGAUGCUGGGACAUGAUCGCUAGAUGGCGUCGCACCACCACAAGAACCUGGAUUGGAGGCUUUAUCAACACGUUGAAGUGACAGCUCACCUAUGAGCUCACCUGACUGUGGUGGGUGUGGUCUACUUUAAAAAAACACCCAGGCUCCGCCUCCAGCAGCGACGCAGCCAAUCAUAUGUCAACACUCCAAAUAUGGACAGGUCCUAACCCUUUAAGGCACAGGUGAAACAUAAAUAGCC
Molecule: long non-coding RNA, 354 nt
Organism: Pimephales promelas (fathead minnow)
Lineage: Eukaryota; Metazoa; Chordata; Actinopteri; Cypriniformes; Leuciscidae
Source: RefSeq, a predicted model, not a curated record